AGGUAAGCUACUAAGAGCGAAUGGUGGAUGCCUUGACUGGUAAAGGCGAUGAAGGACGUACUAGACUGCGAUAAGCUACGGGGAGCUGUCAAGAAGCUUUGAUCCGUAGAUUUCCGAAUGGGGCAACCCAAUGUAUAGAGAUAUACAUUACCUAUAUAGGAGCGAACGAGGGGAAUUGAAACAUCUUAGUACCCUCAGGAAAAGAAAUCAAUAGAGAUUGCGUCAGUAGCGGCGAGCGAAAGCGCAAGAGGGCAAACCCAGUGCUUGCACUGGGGGUUGUAGGACUGCAAUGUGCAAGAGCUGAGUUUAGCAGAACAUUCUGGAAAGUAUAGCCAUAGAGGGUGAUAGUCCCGUAUGCGAAAAACAAAGCUUAGCUAGCAGUAUCCUGAGUAGGGCGGGACACGAGGAAUCCUGUCUGAAUCCGGGUCGACCACGAUCCAACCCUAAAUACUAAUACCAGAUCGAUAGUGCACAAGUACCGUGAGGGAAAGGUGAAAAGAACUGAGGUGAUCAGAGUGAAAUAGAACCUGAAACCAUUUGCUUACAAUCAUUCAGAGCACUAUGUAGCAAUACAGUGUGAUGGACUGCCUUUUGCAUAAUGAGCCUGCGAGUUGUGGUGUCUGGCAAGGUUAAGCAAACGCGAAGCCGUAGCGAAAGCGAGUCUGAAUAGGGCGCUUAGUCAGAUGCUGCAGACCCGAAACGAAGUGAUCUAUCCAUGAGCAAGUUGAAGCUAGUGUAAGAACUAGUGGAGGACUGAACCCAUAGGCGUUGAAAAGCCCCGGGAUGACUUGUGGAUAGGGGUGAAAGGCCAAUCAAACUUCGUGAUAGCUGGUUCUCUCCGAAAUAUAUUUAGGUAUAGCGUUGUGUCGUAAUAUAAGGGGGUAGAGCACUGAAUGGGCUAGGGCAUACACCAAUGUACCAAACCCUAUCAAACUCCGAAUACCUUAUAUGUAAUCACAGCAGUCAGGCGGCGAGUGAUAAAAUCCGUCGUCAAGAGGGAAACAACCCAGACUACCAGCUAAGGUCCCUAAAUCUUACUUAAGUGGAAAACGAUGUGAAGUUACUUAAACAACCAGGAGGUUGGCUUAGAAGCAGCCAUCCUUUAAAGAAAGCGUAAUAGCUCACUGGUCUAGUGAUUUUGCGCGGAAAAUAUAACGGGGCUAAAGUAAGUACCGAAGCUGUAGACUUGCACACAACUUAGAUUAUUUAAGUUUAGAAUAAGUAGUUUAAGUUGUGUGCAAGUGGUAGGAGAGCGUUCUAUUUGCGUCGAAGGUAUACCGGUAAGGAGUGCUGGAGCGAAUAGAAGUGAGCAUGCAGGCAUGAGUAGCGAUAAUUAAUGUGAGAAUCAUUAACGCCGUAAACCCAAGGUUUCCUACGCGAUGCUCGUCAUCGUAGGGUUAGUCGGGUCCUAAGUCGAGUCCGAAAGGGGUAGACGAUGGCAAAUUGGUUAAUAUUCCAAUACCAACAUUAGUGUGCGAUGGAAGGACGCUUAGGGCUAAGGGGGCUAGCGGAUGGAAGUGCUAGUCUAAGGUUGUAGGAGGUUAUACAG
This 1549-nucleotide ribosomal RNA is filed under the name Campylobacter jejuni. RNAcentral's name for it is "partial 23S ribosomal RNA". It matches the Rfam family "Bacterial large subunit ribosomal RNA", at positions 1 to 1535 of the family's 2925-position model. The record is from RNAcentral. Lineage: Bacteria; Pseudomonadati; Campylobacterota; Epsilonproteobacteria; Campylobacterales; Campylobacteraceae.